This 217-nucleotide non-coding RNA is filed under the name Domibacillus antri. RNAcentral's name for it is "T-box sequence". It matches the Rfam family "T-box leader". From Rfam's summary of the family: Uncharged tRNA acts as the effector for transcription antitermination of genes in the T-box leader family. T-boxes are found upstream of many aminoacyl-tRNA synthetase genes and some amino acid biosynthetic genes usually in Gram-positive bacteria. Lineage: Bacteria; Bacillati; Bacillota; Bacilli; Caryophanales; Bacillaceae. The record is from RNAcentral.
UAAAACGCGAUGAAGGAAAAUAAUAGCGUGAUUUUUCUCGGAAAGAGAGCCGGUGGGUGGUGCGAACCGGUGGGGGAGUCAGGUGAAUCCAUUCCGGAGCGGGAUGCUGAAAGAAAAAGUAGGCAUUGACCGGCGCAGGCCGUUAAAACGCAGUUGAGAGGAAAGCGUCAUGCUUUCAAUCAGGGUGGUAACGCGGAAUAUUACUUCCGUCCCUAUA